Molecule: RNA transcript, 517 nt
Organism: Grammomys surdaster
Lineage: Eukaryota; Metazoa; Chordata; Mammalia; Rodentia; Muridae
Gene name: superoxide dismutase [Mn], mitochondrial pseudogene
Exons: 1
Source: RefSeq, a predicted model, not a curated record
AAAGGAGAGUUGCUGGAGGCUAUCAAGCGUGACUUUGGGUCUUUUGAGAAGUUUAAGGAGAAACUGACAGCCGUGUCUGUGGGAGUCCAAGAUUCAGGCUGGGGCUGGCUUGGCUUCAAUAAGGAGCAAGGUCUCUUACAGAUUGCUGCCUGCUCUAAUCAGGACCCUCUGCAAGGAACAACAGGCCUUAUUCCGCUGCUGGGGAUUGACGUGUGGGAGCACGCAUACUACCUCCAGUACAAAAACGUCAGGCCUGACUAUCUGAAGGCUAUUUGGAAUGUAAUCAACUGGGAGAAUGUUACUGAAAGAUACACAGCUUGCAAGAAGUAAAGCCUUUUGGCCACGUUGAGUAUGCCAGGCCCUUGGCUGUUUUAUAGUAGUGUAGAGCACUGCAGCACUAUGACUGAGAGCUGUAAUCUUUACUGAUGUUUAUCCACAUAUGUGAUGAGCAUAAUGUUAUGAUAAUUUCUUAUUUUAAUUAAAUUUACUAUUAGUACAACUGUUUGAGAACAGUACA